This is a non-coding RNA of Danio rerio (zebrafish), 46 nucleotides long. NCBI's taxonomy places the organism in Eukaryota, Metazoa, Chordata, Actinopteri, Cypriniformes, Danionidae. The record is from Rfam.
CCAACGGCUCUUUUAAGAGCCACCCACACUUUCAUAAAGAGCACAU